Schistocerca gregaria is the source of this 880-nucleotide long non-coding RNA. RefSeq lists it as uncharacterized. Lineage: Eukaryota; Metazoa; Arthropoda; Insecta; Orthoptera; Acrididae. The transcript is spliced from 2 exons. The record is from RefSeq and is a predicted model, not a curated record.
AGGGACUUCACGGAGCAUAGAGGUACCUCCAUCACGGAGUCUAUGAUCACGGAGAAGUGUUGACUUGGUGAAUCUAGGAUCUCUGAUUUUGUUGCGACUGACAUGGCAAGUGUGUCAUGGUCUUCGGUGUUUACCACUUUCGUGUGAGAGAAAUACAACUACUCUGAAAAUACUUGAGCCUUUCGCUGAGAAUUAUACGACUUUUAUAGGAAACCUGUUAUGAUAUUACAUCUAGAGAAUUUUUAACUUUGUCAGGGCAGAAUAAUUUUGUUGGUUGGCAGCGUUGCUGGCGACUGUCAAGUGUCACACAACUUCGAGUUUGAAGAGUUUAGUUUUGCAUGGUGUUUGGUGAGUCGUGUGUGGGAGUGUUUGGCGUUUAACAUAAGAUUCUUACAUUGUAUAGUGCUGUACACAAGAGCCAGACUGUAGGGCUCCAACACGUAUUGAGCUGAAGCUCGAAGACUUACAAGAAUUUGAAGCUGCGCGACGGGAGAUGGAAGUUCGACGCCAGGAGCAAGGUGCCUCCUCGUCGUCUUCAGUGGAUGCUACCACACCACUUGGCUCCAGCCCACCUGGUGGACUUUGGGCACCGGCCGCACCUAAUGCCAAAAGGACAUACCGAACGACGAGGGUUGUCGGCUUCCUGCCACAGCCGCACUUUACAUAAUACUGACAAAUUGUGAUGUUUGGAUCUAGUUCCACUGUUGAGCCUUUUCACUUCAUCAUAAGUUUAACAUCAGAUAACUCUUUGGAAGAGCUCUGUAUCAUAUGUAAAUGUUUCCAUAUAUCCAGUACACCACAAUGUUACUAAUCUUUAAAUAAAAUUUCUAUAUUGUGAUUAUAGUAUUGUUCAGAAAAAUACAGCAGUUUUAGAGUUUUG